This is a long non-coding RNA of Acanthaster planci (crown-of-thorns starfish), 703 nucleotides long. Lineage: Eukaryota; Metazoa; Echinodermata; Asteroidea; Valvatida; Acanthasteridae. The record is from RefSeq and is a predicted model, not a curated record.
CCCAGAAGCUCAUCGCCAGCAGAGUUUGGUCAAUCAGUCCUGGCGUUGGUGCCUUAACGGCCAGCUUUGAAGUGUACAGGGCAAUUUGACCCUCCCGGGAAAGUGGGCCGCAGGUCGCCGCCGCCAGUCAACAUUGCUCAUCAAUCUUCAAAAAGACAACUCAGUGCUGAAACGAGGGGCACACAUGGAAAUCCUUUCUUCAACUUUGAACAGGGCAGCAUUAUACAAACUUUGAAUACCUAAUGAGGACAUUCCAUUAGCUUUAAAGGGUGGUCAGAUUGCAAUACAACGAACGAAUAUACAGGGUGGGUCUCUCAUCCAUUCUUCUAUAAUUCCAACUAUGUUGAAGGUAAGCACUUUCAUACUUUUUUGCCUACUAACUCGACACAAUUCGACUGCGUCACGAAAAUUAGUGACUCGUUAUGUAAAACCUCUCUCAAGAUUUAUGCAGUAAAGACUUACUUGGCGUUUGUGUUGGUUAAAUUAUAUCUGCACAUAUCUUAAUUGUAACGGUAAAAACAAAUACAGUGUAGUGGGUACACAGAAAAAUGAGCAAAACUCAAGACAUAUGAGUGAUGAUUUGAUACUGUGGCAUCAGUAUUGAAAUCUGUAUGGAGUCUUUUCCUUUUUAAUGUUUGUUUUAUUUGUAACUGCAAGUUAUGGUCAUGUGCACACAUUCAAUAAAAUGUCUUUGAAAUACUUA